AAUGAACGUUGGCGGCAUGGAUUAGGCAUGCAAGUCGGGGGAAUCCCAGCAAUGGGGGAACCGGCGUAAGGGGCAGUAAGGCAUGGGUACCUACCUUGGGGUUCGGGAUAGCCAUCAGAGAUGGUGGGUAAUACCGGAUGACGUCGUGAGACCAAAGAUUUAUCGCCCUUAGAGGGGCCCAUGGGAUAUUAGCUAGUUGGGGGGGUAACGGCCCACCAAGGCGAAGAUGUCUAGCGGGUGUGAGAGCACGACCCGCGCCACUCGCACUGAGACACUGGCGAGACACCUACGGGUGGCUGCAGUCGAGGAUCUUCGGCAAUGAGCGCAAGCUUGACCGAGCGAUGCCGCGUGAGCGAUGAAGGCCUUCGGGUUGUAAAGCUCUUUAGUGGGGGAGAAAAGCCGCAAGGUGUGAUCUAUCCCAAAAAUAAGCACCGGCUAACUACGUGCCAGCCGCCGCCGUAA
RNAcentral lists this ribosomal RNA (462 nucleotides) under uncultured bacterium. RNAcentral's name for it is "partial 16S ribosomal RNA". It matches the Rfam family "Bacterial small subunit ribosomal RNA", at positions 29 to 523 of the family's 1533-position model. The record is from RNAcentral.